AAAGGAAAAUGACCUCUCAUUGAGCGCACUGAAUCUUAGUCUAAGUCCAUUCCCUUUGUAGACCUUAAUGCAUGCAUCGCUGCAUUUUUGACUCAAGUAAAAACAUUGGUGUUGAUCUCACUCCUUCACAAAGCUUCUAUAAGAGUUCUUGGAUAUUUUUCAACCAUACCUCAUUCUUUUGACCACUCUUUAUUUUUCCCAUCUGAGAAUCACUAUCAAAUAUCUUUUGAUUCAAUUUUUAGCUCUGAAUUCCUAAACAAAAAAUUGCUCAAAAUACCAAGCCCAAAAACCCCAGAAUAUUUGUUCCCGUAUUCUCUACAUCCGCUGCACCAGUUUGAGAUGAAGCAAACACCAGGCCUAAGCGUUCUAAGAUGGGACUUUGAAAAAGAGAGAAACUUGGAUGCGUUACUUUAUACUUUGUUGGAUCCAGUAGAUUAAUCUGAGAACGUUCUUCCUGCCAAGUCAACAAGUGAAAAGGCAAAAAA
Molecule: long non-coding RNA, 485 nt
Filed under: Trifolium pratense (red clover)
Lineage: Eukaryota; Viridiplantae; Streptophyta; Magnoliopsida; Fabales; Fabaceae
Description: long non-coding RNA (TPRA_LNC010194)
Source: RNAcentral